CCUACGGGUGGCUGCAGUGGGGAAUAUUGGACAAUGGGCGAAAGCCUGAUCCAGCCAUGCCGCGUGUGUGAAGAAGGCCUUCGGGUUGUAAAGCACUUUCAGUGGGGAAGAAAGCCUUGGGGCUAAUACCCUCGAGGAAGGACAUCACCCACAGAAGAAGCACCGGCUAACUCCGUGCCAGCAGCCGCGGUAAUACGGAGGGUGCGAGCGUUAAUCGGAAUUACUGGGCGUAAAGCGCGCGUAGGCGGUCUGAUAAGCCGGGUUGUGAAAGCCCCGGGCUCAACCUGGGAACGGCAUCCGGAACUGUCAGGCUAGAGUGCAGGAGAGGAAGGUAGAAUUCCCGGUGUAGCGGUGAAAUGCGUAGAGAUCGGGAGGAAUACCAGUGGCGAAGGCGGCCUUCUGGACUGACACUGACGCUGAGGUGCGAAAGCGUGGGUAGCAAACAGGAUUAGAUACCCCUGUAGUC
Molecule: ribosomal RNA, 466 nt
Filed under: Vreelandella stevensii
Lineage: Bacteria; Pseudomonadati; Pseudomonadota; Gammaproteobacteria; Oceanospirillales; Halomonadaceae
Description: partial 16S ribosomal RNA
Rfam family: Bacterial small subunit ribosomal RNA
Source: RNAcentral